This is a long non-coding RNA of Cercocebus atys (sooty mangabey), 2543 nucleotides long. RefSeq lists it as uncharacterized. The record is from RefSeq and is a predicted model, not a curated record. The transcript has 3 exons. NCBI's taxonomy places the organism in Eukaryota, Metazoa, Chordata, Mammalia, Primates, Cercopithecidae.
AUGUGGGAAGACUAAAGUCCUCCAGCCCUGCCCAUCUAAUAUCUGAAUACAGCAAUAUGAGUGACACCAGCUGACACAGCAAGGAGCAAUGUAUCACACAGGUGUAUGAGGGUGACUUGGAAUCUGCAGUAAGAAGGAAAGGAAAGAUGGAAGUUCGUGCCUCAUGAAUAUCCCACCUCUUCCGCGUGCAUCUCCAAGAAGACCUGUUUCACAAGUCACCCUUCCAGCAAUGGGACAAGCAAUGGCAAAGAAUCAUUUUUUUUCUUAUAUUUUUUUUCAACUAGAGCAUAUUCUAAAUCCUCCUAGAAAACGUUUCUAGUAUUGCUCUCUAAUUUGUGUUAUUGCUUUGUGUCAGGAUAUUGAUUUUCAUUUUGAUUUUUACUGAAAGUGAAGUUAGACAUUGUUAGCUGUGAGCACUCAAUUAUAGUUUAAUGACUGUUUUGCAAUGAGAUAAUAUUCCUGUUUCCCUCCUCUGGGAAAACCAGUUCUGUAAGAUGUACAGAACCCAGUCCUCGUGGUGGAUUUGCAUCCUCUCAUUUUCCUCACUCCAUCACUGUAUUUGGCUCUGUUGCUCAGCACCUUAACUCUGUGUGCCAAGGUCUUUGGCAGUUCAGUCUGGAAAAGUAAACGCUAUUUACCCAAAAGACAGUAAUUUUAAACUCCCCUUUCGGAUGGUCUCCAGUGAGAAAUGAAGCUGAGGAGGUGGAGAGGCCAGGAGGGGCUCUUCCUCCAGCUGUUGGAAGCAAUCUUGGCUUGGAGAAGAAUGUCUGAUCCAACCACAGCACACUGGAAAUGUUGGAGCCAUCAGUAUCCAGGGAGCAAUUCCAGACAAGGCCUAACUUUCAACUGCCCAGGCUUUUCAUGAACGAUUCUGGUCGUUUCUCUGUUUAGGGAGUUCCCUUUGGCAGGAGCUGCGAUUUACACAACAGAAGGUAGUAUCACUGGCAGCGGAGCCUGCCUCUUAGAAUCCCCUACCCAGGCAGUACUCAGCUCCCUCUUCUGCUUCGUGCUCCAAAGCUGGGAACCCACUGAAAACCCCUGCUAUGCAAGCCCUUUUAUUUAGAUUCAAGCAGCUUUAUUUUCACUUCCUUCCCUUCGACAUGCAGGAUACUCUUUCUCAAAGGCAGAUUAGAUGUUCAACACUCUGACUACAUUCAACUGAAACCCCAGGCGAUCCCCAUUAAAAGCCAGUCAGGCUUUGGGGGAGAUGCCAGAGGGGGUGUCGUUGUGACUUGUUCUUUGUGGAAGCCUAAGCCAGUGUCUGGUGUCUUCUAUGUCUGGUGUAGCCCAGCUGGUGAGGGGGCCGCUGCCAAGCACUGAGAAGUUAGCAUAUUGCGUCCUCAUUACAUUCAACUAUCUCUCUCUCUCUCUUUUUUUUUUUUUUGUCAUGCAACUUGAGUGUGUUUGGGGCUAUAAGGCCUCGAGUUUCUGCGUUCCGUGUCUUCUAUCAGCUGCUUUCACUCUCACAUUUGUGACGCCCAACAUUGCAACUGGGGCCUCCAGGGUGAGACUGCGCAUCCCUAGGAAGCAUUGUUGUGAUGGAGCCAAAAGACCUGUGUCUUCCAGGGACAUGAACUUCCCAGCCGAAUGUUACCACAACCAGUAACAGACGUAAAACUCGUGUCUUCCCUCUAGGGUCCAACAAAAAAAGCAAAAAUCCCAGAAGCUGGGCUGCAUUUUCACCUGGCCCAGUUAGAAUAGACUGCUGUGCUCAACUAGACAGAGGACUUCAUGGAAAAUGUGUUUCCCAGUCCCUUCUCUCCUAAUAUCCCUAUCAGGAGAGCGAUCACGCAUCCACCUGCAUAGAGGCAGAGAAAGAAAAGGAAAGAAAAAAGAUGAUAUUUUAUCUUGUAAGUUCUACUGCAGCCAAAUUGUUCUCCUCUAAGAAGUCUGGGAAAGCCGGGAAGGUGAGAGUAGAGAAAGAGCAUUUAUUGAGCACCAAUUAGUCAUCAAUUAUUAGGUGUUUGCCCUGUACUAGGUAGUGUGCUUCAUGUAUGUUUCAGGGACUUAAUGGUGAUUAUAUAUCUAGUCUUUAAAAUAACUAUAUAUUUUUGUCUUGGGACAAGGCUGAUUAUAACCUCCACUUUUACAGAUGAGAAAACUGAGGCCUCUUUCAGGCUGCACAACUUGCAUGUGGCAGAGCAAAACUCUGAAGCCAGGUGCAUUUUAACUCCAGAGCCUGUGCAGUUCCUACCCACUCUGAUCCUCUUACAGGGCCAUGUGAAAUGAUGUAGAAUAAUUAAGUUUAUUGUAUCAUGGCAUUGAAAUACCAGUUAAACAAUAAAAUCAUGAUGACAACAUAAUUCCAAAGAAAAAGUUGGUGUUAGGGUUAUGGGCAGUUUAUAUGUUCAACAAUUACAUACUUUUUGAUAUUGAUAUACAAGUAAAAUAAAGGAAAAAUUGUAUUUAUAAUGUUUACUGUGGGUCUGCUUCUGGGAGGGAAAGAACUGCUUUCAGUAGCCUUGGUGCUAAGACAAUAAGCCAGGGAGAGCCAGGGACACAUAGCCUCAUGCAUAGUAACAAAAUAAUCUCAUCCAAAAGGA